GUUAAAUGGAAAAAUGUAAACAACUGUCUACCUCACCAGAUUUUCUUCAGUAGAUGGAGUUAAAAGUUUAAUAUUUUUCUGUGUUCAAUUCAACUAUGCAUUAAUGUGUGUUUGUUUUAGGCAGAGCAUUGCCUUCUGCAGUUUCCCUGCAUUAAUCCUCUGGUUGCUCAACUGAUGUUGAGAAGAGCUCCAUCACUGCAGUGGCUGCUGGGAGCUUCUUUCUCUGAGCUGCAGGAAAUGUUCCCACAGAUCCCUCACAAAGUCAUUAAGCUCUUUAGUGACAUCACAGCUGAGUCCAAUGUCAAAAAGAGUGAGACUACACACUUCUCAAACAUAAACAGCCGAACUCACUCUCCCUUUUGGGAACAGGAUCCUGUUAAACCACAGAUACAGCUGGAGGAUAAGAUGCCGCCUAGCCAGUUUACAGAGCUGAUUUCAGGUCAUAACAGCGUGAGAGGAGAGGAUACAGCUCAUUUUCACUCAUACAACCCAUUAACGCCAAGCCAGUUCAGCCGAGGUUCAACUACAGCGAGCGUCUGGCAGCUACAGGGUGAAGGAUUCAUUCAAAACCCAGAUCUCAUGCCAGGCCGAGCUGUUCCACGAGGGUCUGCCCAUGUUCCCUUGGCUCCUCUGCCCACUCCUGAAGUGCUGGGAGGCAGAAACACUGCGUGUGGAUUCAGCUCUAGACCGCAGAGUCAGACUCGCUGGAGCUCACCUGAGAAUCAUCUGCCCAACAAGACAGGAGAGGAGAGGAAGAGGCGAGGAGGAGAAGAUGUGCACAGUGUGCUGCCGCACUGCAAGAGAGGAAGACUGCUAUGUGAGCGAGUUCCAGGCAGAAAUGAUGGACAGACCAGACUGAGAUUUUUCUGAGCAAGUUUUGCUACUUUAUGUUAAGUAUAUCACUCGCUUGAGUGAUAUUUUAGAAUAUUU
Long non-coding RNA from Sinocyclocheilus anshuiensis, 930 nucleotides. The record is from Ensembl. NCBI's taxonomy places the organism in Eukaryota, Metazoa, Chordata, Actinopteri, Cypriniformes, Cyprinidae.